RNAcentral lists this ribosomal RNA (1296 nucleotides) under metagenome. Its description in RNAcentral is "bacterial LSU rRNA". It matches the Rfam family "Bacterial large subunit ribosomal RNA", at positions 1645 to 2925 of the family's 2925-position model. The record is from RNAcentral.
CACUGCAAACCGACUCAGGUGGACGGGGUGAAUAUCCCAAGGCGCGUGAGAGAACCCUGGUUAAGGAACUCAGCAAAUUGACACCGUAACUUCGGGAGAAGGUGUGCCGCUGGCGGUUAGUGACUUCGCGUCACGAAGCUGUCGGUGGUCGCAGUGAAAUGGCGGUUGUUACUGUUUACUAAAAACACAGGACUCUGCGAAGUCGUAAGACGACGUAUAGGGUCUGAUGCCUGCCCGGUGCUGGAAGGUUAAGGGGAUAUGUCAGCGCAAGCGAAGCAUUGAACCGAAGCCCCAGUAAACGGCGGCCGUAACAAUAACGGUCCUAAGGUAGCGAAAUUCCUUGUCGGGUAAGUUCCGACCUGCACGAGGGCAUAACAACAUCCGCACUGUCUCGACCAGGGACUCAGCGAAAUUACAUUGGGGGUGAAGAUGCCCUCUACCCGCGGAAAGACGGAAAGACCCCAUGAACCUUUACUGCAACUUGGCAGUGAUUUUCGGGUUGUUCUGCGUAGGAUAGGUGGGAGGCUUUGAAGCCGGGCUUCCGGGUUCGGCAGAGCCAACGUUGAAAUACCACCCUGAAUAAUCUGGAAAUCUAACCUGCGCCCAUGAUCUGGGCGAGGGACACUGCCUGGUGGGCAGUUUGACUGGGGCGGUCGCCUCCUAAAUUGUAACGGAGGCGUGCGACGGUUCCCUCAGGCUGAUUGGAAACCAGCCGUAGAGUGCAAACGCAUAAGGGAGCUUUACUGCGAGACUGACAAGUCGAACAGUUGCGAAAGCAGGUGUUAGUGAUCCGGUGGUACCACAUGGAAGGGCCAUCGCUCAUCGGAUAAAAGGUACUCUGGGGAUAACAGGCUGAUCGCGCCUGAGAGUUCACAUCGGCGGCGCGGUUUGGCACCUCGUGUCGGCUCAUCGCAUCCUGGGGCUGGAGCAGGUCCCAAGGGUUUGGCUGUUCGCCAAUCAAAGCGGUACACGAGCUGGGUUUAAAACGUCGUGAGACAGUUUGGUCCCUAUCUUCCGUGGGCGCUGGACACUUGAGAGGAGCUAUCCAUAGUACGAGAGGACCUGGAUGGACGAACCUCUGGUGCUCCGGUUGUCACGCCAGUGGCAUAGCCGGGUAGCCAUGUUCGGAACAGAUAACCGCUGAAGGCAUAUAAGCGGGAAGCUGGCCUCAAGACUAGGUGUCCCUGACGCAAGUCACUAAAGGCCCCUCGAAGACUACGAGGUUGGUAGGCUCGGUGUGGAAGCGCUGCGAGGCGUGGAGCUAACGAGUACUAAUAGGCCGUGCGACUUGACCCC